RNAcentral lists this ribosomal RNA (1367 nucleotides) under Akkermansia muciniphila. RNAcentral describes it as "bacterial SSU rRNA". It matches the Rfam family "Bacterial small subunit ribosomal RNA". The record is from RNAcentral. Lineage: Bacteria; Pseudomonadati; Verrucomicrobiota; Verrucomicrobiia; Verrucomicrobiales; Akkermansiaceae. RNAcentral also lists the same sequence under 2 other names.
CGAACGAGAGAAUUGCUAGCUUGCUAAUAAUUCUCUAGUGGCGCACGGGUGAGUAACACGUGAGUAACCUGCCCCCGAGAGCGGGAUAGCCCUGGGAAACUGGGAUUAAUACCGCAUAGUAUCGAAAGAUUAAAGCAGCAAUGCGCUUGGGGAUGGGCUCGCGGCCUAUUAGUUAGUUGGUGAGGUAACGGCUCACCAAGGCGAUGACGGGUAGCCGGUCUGAGAGGAUGUCCGGCCACACUGGAACUGAGACACGGUCCAGACACCUACGGGUGGCAGCAGUCGAGAAUCAUUCACAAUGGGGGAAACCCUGAUGGUGCGACGCCGCGUGGGGGAAUGAAGGUCUUCGGAUUGUAAACCCCUGUCAUGUGGGAGCAAAUUAAAAAGAUAGUACCCAAGAGGAAGAGACGGCUAACUCUGUGCCAGCAGCCGCGGUAAUACAGAGGUCUCAAGCGUUGUUCGGAAUCACUGGGCGUAAAGCGUGCGUAGGCUGUUUCGUAAGUCGUGUGUGAAAGGCGCGGGCUCAACCCGCGGACGGCACAUGAUACUGCGAGACUAGAGUAAUGGAGGGGGAACCGGAAUUCUCGGUGUAGCAGUGAAAUGCGUAGAUAUCGAGAGGAACACUCGUGGCGAAGGCGGGUUCCUGGACAUUAACUGACGCUGAGGCACGAAGGCCAGGGGAGCGAAAGGGAUUAGAUACCCCUGUAGUCCUGGCAGUAAACGGUGCACGCUUGGUGUGCGGGGAAUCGACCCCCUGCGUGCCGGAGCUAACGCGUUAAGCGUGCCGCCUGGGGAGUACGGUCGCAAGAUUAAAACUCAAAGAAAUUGACGGGGACCCGCACAAGCGGUGGAGUAUGUGGCUUAAUUCGAUGCAACGCGAAGAACCUUACCUGGGCUUGACAUGUAAUGAACAACAUGUGAAAGCAUGCGACUCUUCGGAGGCGUUACACAGGUGCUGCAUGGCGGUCGUCAGCUCAUGUCCUGAGAUGUUUGGUUAAGUCCAGCAACGAGCGCAACCCCUGUUGCCAGUUACCAGCACGUGAAGGUGGGGACUCUGGCGAGACUGCCCAGAUCAACUGGGAGGAAGGUGGGGACGACGUCAGGUCAGUAUGGCCCUUAUGCCCAGGGCUGCACACGUACUACAAUGCCCAGUACAGAGGGGGCCGAAGCCGCGAGGCGGAGGAAAUCCUGAAAACUGGGCCCAGUUCGGACUGUAGGCUGCAACCCGCCUACACGAAGCCGGAAUCGCUAGUAAUGGCGCAUCAGCUACGGCGCCGUGAAUACGUUCCCGGGUCUUGUACACACCGCCCGUCACAUCAUGGAAGCCGGUCGCACCCGAAGUAUCUGAAGCCAACCGCAAGGAGGCA